Molecule: long non-coding RNA, 785 nt
Organism: Oncorhynchus keta (chum salmon)
Lineage: Eukaryota; Metazoa; Chordata; Actinopteri; Salmoniformes; Salmonidae
Exons: 3
Source: RefSeq, a predicted model, not a curated record
ACUGGACCAGGUGAUGUUCUAGAACUAUGGUAACCUAGAACUGGACCAGGUGAUGUUCUAGAACCAUGGUAACCUAGAACUGGACCAGGUGAUGUUCUAGAACCAUGGUAACCUAGAACUGGACCAGGUGAUGUUCUAGAACCAUGGUAACCUAGAACUGGACCAGGUGAUGUUCUAGAACCAUGGUAACCUAGAACUGGACCAGGUGAUGUUCCAGAACUAUGGUAACCUAGAACUGGACCAGGUGAUGUUCCAGAACCAUGGUAACCUAGAACUGGACCAGGUGAUGUUCCAGAACUAUGGUAACCUAGAACUGGACCAGGUGAUGUUCUAGAACCAUGGUAACCUAGAACUGGACCAGGUGAUGUUCUAGAACCAUGGUAACCUAGAACUGGACCAGGUGAUGUUCUAGAACCAUGGUAACCUAGAACUGGACCAGGUGAUGUUCUAGAACCAUGGUAACCUAGAACUGGACCAGGUGAUGUUCUAGAACCAUGGUAACCUAGAACUGGACCAGGUGAUGUUCCAGAACCAUGGUAACCUAGAACUGGACCAGGUGAUGUUCCAGAACCAUGGUAACCUAGAACUGGACCAGGUGAUGUUCCAGAACUAUGGUAACAUGGAACUGGACCAGGUGAUGUUCCAGAACUAUGGUAACCUAGAACUGGACCAGGUGAUGUUCCAGAACUAUGGUAACCUAGAACUGGACCAGGUGAUGUUCUAGAACCAUGGUAGCCUAGAACUGGACCAGGUGAUGUUCUAGAACCAUGGUAACCUAGAACUGG